CUGGAGACUUCAACUUUGACACUUGCUUCUGUUUCUUAUAUCUUUGAAAAUCUGAUAACCCUCCUCAAAAAAUGAGAAGACAGGCUUUAAAUAGCAAAGAUAUAGGGCACUGGAAGAACUGACUCUUCAGUUAACACUUAGAAACAGAAGACCUCAAUUGAAGACUACCUUUUAACUACCCUCAAGCCCAAGCAGAAGAUUCUGAGGAGGGUAUGCGCCUGUGUCAUGCUGUCUAACUGGAGUAAUUUCCUAGAAUUCUUACCCUGGGAAGCAGUUUAUUAUUUUGAACCCAAUAGAAGUUGGAAUUCUUGGUUUUAAUGGUGGGGAAGCUCUUAAAACACAUCUACACUUUUGCUGUAACAACUUACAUCCAAGAAUGAGGAAUACAACCUGUUAGUCUUUAUCACUCAUUUGGGGCCCUCAGCUUCAAUGGACCUAAAUUGUGGAAGUUCUGGAAAACAUAAAAA
Molecule: long non-coding RNA, 467 nt
Filed under: Bos taurus (domestic cattle)
Lineage: Eukaryota; Metazoa; Chordata; Mammalia; Artiodactyla; Bovidae
Description: long non-coding RNA NONBTAT024318
Source: RNAcentral